AGUUGGUCCAAAGGUUGUGGGUUAUUGUUAAGUGAUUUAACGUUGCCGCCCCUCCCCAACCACACUUGAGUAGCUUAAA
This is an unclassified non-coding RNA of Otolemur garnettii (small-eared galago), 79 nucleotides long. It matches the Rfam family "Y RNA". Rfam says of the family: Y RNAs are components of the Ro ribonucleoprotein particle (Ro RNP), in association with Ro60 and La proteins. The Y RNAs and Ro60 and La proteins are well conserved, but the function of the Ro RNP is not known. In humans the RNA component can be one of four small RNAs -- hY1, hY3, hY4 and hY5. The record is from Ensembl. NCBI's taxonomy places the organism in Eukaryota, Metazoa, Chordata, Mammalia, Primates, Galagidae.